GUUUGAUCCUGGCUCAGGAUGAACGCUAGCUACAGGCUUAACACAUGCAAGUCGAGGGGUAGCAGGGUAGCAAUACCGCUGACGACCGGCGCACGGGUGAGUAACACGUAUCCAACCUACCAUUCACACGGGGAUAGCCUUUCGAAAGAAAGAUUAAUACCCGAUAGUAUAACGAUAAGGCAUCUUAUUGUUAUUAAAGAAUUUCGGUGUUUGAUGGGGAUGCGUUCCAUUAGAUUGUUGGUGAGGUAACGGCUCACCAAGUCUUCGAUGGAUAGGGGUUCUGAGAGGAAGGUCCCCCACAUUGGAACUGAGACACGGUCCAAACUCCUACGGGAGGCAGCAGUGAGGAAUAUUGGUCAAUGGACGAGAGUCUGAACCAGCCAAGUAGCGUGAAGGAUGAAGGCCCUAUGGGUCGUAAACUUCUUUUAUAGGGGAAUAAAGUGCGGAACGUGUUCCGCUUUGUAUGUACCCUACGAAUAAGGAUCGGCUAACUCCGUGCCAGCAGCCGCGGUAAUACGGAGGAUCCGAGCGUUAUCCGGAUUUAUUGGGUUUAAAGGGAGCGUAGGUGGAUAUAUAAGUCAGUUGUGAAAGUUUGCGGCUCAACCGUAAAAUUGCAGUUGAUACUGUAUGUCUUGAGUGUACAAGAGGUAGGCGGAAUUCGUGGUGUAG
This 669-nucleotide ribosomal RNA is filed under the name Bacteroides sp. CannelCatfish3. RNAcentral describes it as "bacterial SSU rRNA". It matches the Rfam family "Bacterial small subunit ribosomal RNA", at positions 11 to 678 of the family's 1533-position model. Lineage: Bacteria; Pseudomonadati; Bacteroidota; Bacteroidia; Bacteroidales; Bacteroidaceae. The record is from RNAcentral.